This 1509-nucleotide ribosomal RNA is filed under the name Salmonella enterica subsp. enterica serovar Stanley. RNAcentral's name for it is "partial 23S ribosomal RNA". It matches the Rfam family "Bacterial large subunit ribosomal RNA", at positions 711 to 2201 of the family's 2925-position model. Lineage: Bacteria; Pseudomonadati; Pseudomonadota; Gammaproteobacteria; Enterobacterales; Enterobacteriaceae. The record is from RNAcentral.
AGACCCGAAACCCGGUGAUCUAGCCAUGGGCAGGUUGAAGGUUGGGUAACACUAACUGGAGGACCGAACCGACUAAUGUUGAAAAAUUAGCGGAUGACCUGUGGCUGGGGGUGAAAGGCCAAUCAAACCGGGAGAUAGCUGGUUCUCCCCGAAAGCUAUUUAGGUAGCGCCUCGUGAAUUCAUCUCCGGGGGUAGAGCACUGUUUCGGCUAGGGGGCCAUCCCGGCUUACCAACCCGAUGCAAACUGCGAAUACCGGAGAAUGUUAUCACGGGAGACACACGGCGGGUGCUAACGUCCGUCGUGAAGAGGGAAACAACCCAGACCGCCAGCUAAGGUCCCAAAGUCAUGGUUAAGUGGGAAACGAUGUGGGAAGGCCCAGACAGCCAGGAUGUUGGCUUAGAAGCAGCCAUCAUUUAAAGAAAGCGUAAUAGCUCACUGGUCGAGUCGGCCUGCGCGGAAGAUGUAACGGGGCUAAACCAUGCACCGAAGCUGCGGCAGCGACACUGUGUGUUGUUGGGUAGGGGAGCGUUCUGUAAGCCUGUGAAGGUGUGUCGUGAGGCAUGCUGGAGGUAUCAGAAGUGCGAAUGCUGACAUAAGUAACGAUAAAGCGGGUGAAAAGCCCGCUCGCCGGAAGACCAAGGGUUCCUGUCCAACGUUAAUCGGGGCAGGGUGAGUCGACCCCUAAGGCGAGGCCGAAAGGCGUAGUCGAUGGGAAACGGGUUAAUAUUCCCGUACUUGGUGUUACUGCGAAGGGGGGACGGAGAAGGCUAUGUUGGCCGGGCGACGGUUGUCCCGGUUUAAGCGUGUAGGUGUGUGUUCCAGGUAAAUCCGGUUCACUUUAACACUGAGGCGUGACGACGAGGCACUACGGUGCUGAAGCAACAAAUGCCCUGCUUCCAGGAAAAGCCUCUAAGCAUCAGGUAACAUCAAAUCGUACCCCAAACCGACACAGGUGGUCAGGUAGAGAAUACCAAGGCGCUUGAGAGAACUCGGGUGAAGGAACUAGGCAAAAUGGUGCCGUAACUUCGGGAGAAGGCACGCUGACACGUAGGUGAAGUGAUUUACUCAUGGAGCUGAAGUCAGUCGAAGAUACCAGCUGGCUGCAACUGUUUAUUAAAAACACAGCACUGUGCAAACACGAAAGUGGACGUAUACGGUGUGACGCCUGCCCGGUGCCGGAAGGUUAAUUGAUGGGGUCAGCGCAAGCGAAGCUCCUGAUCGAAGCCCCGGUAAACGGCGGCCGUAACUAUAACGGUCCUAAGGUAGCGAAAUUCCUUGUCGGGUAAGUUCCGACCUGCACGAAUGGCGUAAUGAUGGCCAGGCUGUCUCCACCCGAGACUCAGUGAAAUUGAACUCGCUGUGAAGAUGCAGUGUACCCGCGGCAAGACGGAAAGACCCCGUGAACCUUUACUAUAGCUUGACACUGAACAUUGAGCCUUGAUGUGUAGGAUAGGUGGGAGGCUUUGAAGCGUGGACGCCAGUCUGCGUGGAGCCGACCUUGAAAUACC